CCCUGCUGUGGCUCUGCCCGCUGGAGCUUGGUCACCACCGUGCCAGGAGCCCCUGGACCUGAUGGUGCCCGGAAGGCGCCACCCGGCCAGGUCCCGGAGCUCCGGACCCUACUGUCCCAGGAGCUGGGGGCGGUUCCCGGUGCUUUCCCUCAGGUGCCCACAGGAUGGCGCCUUCACCCCUUCGGGUCUUUGCCCCUCCUGUGUUGAUCUAGUCCACUGCAGCUGCGCAGAACCAGCUGUGCCUUCUGCUGUUCCUCUCCUCCCCGGCACCCAUGCAGGACUCUGUUUACUGUGUGUUUCUCCCCGCCACAGCCCAACCCCUAAGAGAACGAGGCUGCACUGCCUUUGUGAAUCCCCUGUGUCUGGGCACGAAUGCGGUGUGAACUGUCGUGUGGUCAGUGUCCAGUGAAUGAGAAUGACUGGACAUUGUAUCCUUGAGGAAGAGGAAGGACAUCAUUGAGACGUAACGCUGCUUCUCUGACAUCUAAUCAGGGUCUCACUCUGCAGUUCAGGCUGGCCUUGAGAUCACUUUGUAACCCAGGCUGGUCUCUAACUUGCAACGAUCCUCCUGCCUCAGCCUCCUAAGUGCUGGGAUUACAGGCGUGCACUACCACGACCGGCUCACAGGCCCCAGCGAUGUCCAGGAGCUCAGAGGAGUGAGACUGCUCAUGUCAGAUGGGUCUGACUGGAAGCUGCUCUUGACCCAGUUGUGCGGCGGGUCAAUAAGCAUCGUGAUAGAACUGGUUCUCCGAGCAUGGAUUUUACUCCCAGCAUGGUCUGAUGAGAUAAACUCUCUAAGAUAAACACUCUGGAUUCUGAUGAGGCCCAUCACUGGGUCCAGCCAAGGGCAGCCUGGAGCCAGGGCCGGUGAGGCCAAGUUGGGAGUGGGGCUGAUUCCAGAGUUUGCUACGGUGUGCAAAGGAGUCACCGCGCAGUGUCACACACACUUGCUGGCCCUCUGCUGAGCCUUCCUGAGCAGGAGGAAAGCGAAUCCACUGCAAUUGUACAUUCUGAAGACAUCAGAGCCUCUUCUCUGCUAAACAGCAUGGCGCUACAUGCAUAGGGAGGUGUGAGGCCUUCCCUGGCUGCUGGGCCAGCUUAAGACAUGAAAAGAUGAGACUGUGGCCCUUCCAGGGGAGAACCACCAGUGUCUCCUGAGAUCUGCGCCAUGUUGGAACUUAGGACCCUGGGACACCGAGCAAGCAGCUCACCUCUCUGCAAAUGGGAACCAGAAAUCUGAGCAUCUCCUGGGAGGUUGACCAUAGCAAAUAAGGGAGAUUUUCUUCUACCAUUUCUUUGAAGGCAAGUAUUUUUAUUACUGUUCUGCUUUAUUCUGAUUAAUGGUACUGCUCUAUUCAAUAUUCUGUUUUGAUAAGUUCUAUAAUGUUCUGUAUUUCAUUUUAUUUUGAUAUACGUGAUUGAAAGAACAACUAUUAUAAAGACAAUGAAAUAUACUGUGAUACCUAUUACUGUUAAAAAAAAAAAAAAGACAUGGGGGCCCGGGGAUAUAGCUCAGUGGCAUAAGUGCCUGCCUGGCAAGCCCGAGGUCCUGAGUUCGAUCUCUGGUACAAAAAAAAAAAAAAAAAAAAAAAGACAUGAAAAGAUGUUCAUUGCACAAUGCCAAGCUUGAAAAAACGGUGGGGUAUGAAAUGGCUUAUUCAGAAUAAUCCCAGUCUUGCUAUUUAUAAAAACACCUGCACCAAAAUGUUGAUAAUAGCUUUGUUUUGGGGACUCCAUUUUCAGCUACUUUUCAGUAUUUUUCAAAUACUUACAAUGUGUGUGAAUGACAUCAAGAGGUCACAUGACUGAAUUUUUAUAAGAUGUAAAACCCGUGAUUGUAGACAUGGAAUAAUUCCUCCCCCAGAAAUCCCCGUCCACUUUCCCGGAGUUCCCAGCUCGUCUUGCUUCAUGCCUGCCACCUGACUCCCCUCCUGUUGUAGGGUUAUUUUUUGAUUAACAGACUCAGUUCUUUUUUUUGGUACCA
Long non-coding RNA from Cavia porcellus (domestic guinea pig), 1984 nucleotides. RefSeq lists it as uncharacterized. The record is from RefSeq and is a predicted model, not a curated record. The transcript is spliced from 6 exons. Lineage: Eukaryota; Metazoa; Chordata; Mammalia; Rodentia; Caviidae.